AUGGCAAUCCUGAGCGGACUAGGGCUUCUACGAACCCUGUGUGUAUUUCAACAAUAUUUACUGCAUAAACUCCUCUGUAGUUAGCAGUCACCGUUCUGUGGCAAUUGAAGAUCUUUCUAUUAAAUGCCAGUCAUAUUACCCUCCCCUCGAACACUAAUGCCAAGGACGUACUGGGAGAGAUUUACAGUAUCUACAGAACAAGCACCCGGAAUGAACGUGCUAAAAGGGAACUUUACAAGACUAAAGUACGAGGGAAUAUUAAACUGUAUGAGGUGGAGAGCAUUUGUCAAAUCCACCAUCCAGACUGAAAUGGCCUAUGGUUACAGACCAGGUUAAAGUGUGUAAUUCUUUAAGCUCUUCUCUUCAGAGAUAUCAACAAGUGAAAGAUAAAAGGAAUGUGUGUCAGGG
Molecule: long non-coding RNA, 408 nt
Organism: Mobula hypostoma (lesser devil ray)
Lineage: Eukaryota; Metazoa; Chordata; Chondrichthyes; Myliobatiformes; Myliobatidae
Exons: 3
Source: RefSeq, a predicted model, not a curated record